This 440-nucleotide ribosomal RNA is filed under the name uncultured bacterium. RNAcentral describes it as "partial 16S ribosomal RNA". It matches the Rfam family "Bacterial small subunit ribosomal RNA", at positions 29 to 507 of the family's 1533-position model. The record is from RNAcentral.
AUGAACGCUGGCGGCGUGCCUCAUACAUGCAAGUCGCACGGGGAGUAGCAAUACUCUUAGUGGCGAACGGGUGAGUAACGCGUUGGUACCUGCCCCGAAGCGGGGGAUAACGGACCGAAAGGUCCGCUAAUACCCCAUGUGCUCGGUAACGAGUAAAGGUGAAAACCACUUUGGGAGGGGCCUGCGUCCCAUCAGCUAGUUGGUAAGGUAACGGCUUACCAAGGCGAUGACGGGUAGGGGACCUGAGAGGGUGGCCCCCCACAAUGGAACUGAAACACGGUCCAUACACCUACGGGUGGCAGCAGUAGGGAAUAUUGGUAAUGGGCGCAAGCCUGAACCAGCAACGCCGCGUGUGCGAUGACGGCCUUCGGGUUGUAAAGCACUUUUGACUGGGACGAGGAAGGACGGUACCGGUCGAAUCAGCCUCGGCUAACUACGUG